RNAcentral lists this ribosomal RNA (474 nucleotides) under uncultured bacterium. Its description in RNAcentral is "bacterial SSU rRNA". It matches the Rfam family "Bacterial small subunit ribosomal RNA", at positions 335 to 799 of the family's 1533-position model. The record is from RNAcentral.
ACUCCUACGGGAGGCAGCAGUGGGGAAUAUUGCACAAUGGGCGCAAGCCUGAUGCAGCCAUGCCGCGUGUAUGAAGAAGGCCUUCGGGUUGUAAAGUACUUUCAGCAGUGAGGAAGGCGGGUACGGUUAAUAGCGUGCUUGUUUGACGUUAGCUGCAGAAGAAGCACCGGCUAACUCCGUGCCAGCAGCCGCGGUAAUACGGAGGGUGCGAGCGUUAAUCGGAAUUACUGGGCGUAAAGCGCAUGCAGGUGGUUUGUUAAGUCAGAUGUGAAAGCCCGGGGCUCAACCUCGGAAUUGCAUUUGAAACUGGCAGACUAGAGUACUGUAGAGGGGGGUAGAAUUUCAGGUGUAGCGGUGAAAUGCGUAGAGAUCUGAAGGAAUACCGGUGGCGAAGGCGGCCCCCUGGACAGAUACUGACACUCAGAUGCGAAAGCGUGGGGAGCAAACAGGAUUAGAUACCCUGGUAGGAUAGCG